This 889-nucleotide ribosomal RNA is filed under the name uncultured Cryptococcus. RNAcentral's name for it is "eukaryotic LSU rRNA". The stretch from base 417 to 889 matches the Rfam family "Eukaryotic large subunit ribosomal RNA", at positions 1 to 468 of the family's 3401-position model. Lineage: Eukaryota; Fungi; Basidiomycota; Tremellomycetes. The record is from RNAcentral.
CAGUCAUUGGGUUAGAUCUGCUCUCUUCGCAAGAAGAGGGUUUCCAUACACACCGUGAACUGUGGCUUCGGCCAUCACAAACUGUUAGUAAUGAAUGUAAUAUCAUAACAAAAACAAAACUUUUAACAACGGAUCUCUUGGCUCUCGCAUCGAUGAAGAACGCAGCGAAAUGCGAUAAGUAAUGUGAAUUGCAGAAUUCAGUGAAUCAUCGAAUCUUUGAACGCACCUUGCGCCCUUUGGUAUUCCGAAGGGCAUGCCUGUUUGAGUGUCAUGAAACCUCACCCCACUUAGGUUUUUGCCUAAGCGGUGGUGUAUUGGGUGUUGCCUUGCUAAAGGCUCGCCUUAAAGACAUAAGCACCUUGGAUGUAAUACGUUUCAUCCUUCUGGGUGGCUAAUAACCCCACAUAUUCAUGAUCUGGCCUCAAAUCAGGUAGGGCUACCCGCUGAACUUAAGCAUAUCAAUAAGCGGAGGAAAAGAAACUAACUAGGAUUCCCUUAGUAACGGCGAGUGAACCGGGAUGAGCUCAAAUUUAAAAUCUGGCGUCUUUCAGGCGUCCGAGUUGUAAUCUAUAGAGGCGUUUUCCGCGCCGGACCGCGUCCAAGUCACUUGGAAUAGAGUAUCAAAGAGGGUGACAAUCCCGUACUUGACGCGACAACCGGUGCUCUGUGAUACGUUCUCAAUGAGUCGAGUUGUUUGGGAAUGCAGCUCUAAAUGGGUGGUAAAUUCCAUCUAAGGCUAAAUAUUGGCGAGAGACCGAUAGCGAACAAGUACCGUGAGGGAAAGAUGAAAAGCACUUUGGAAAGAGAGUUAAACAGCACGUGAAAUUGUUAAAAGGGAAACGAUUGAAGUCAGUCGUGUGAAAGGUAUUCAGCCGUCUCUGGCGGUGUA